UGCUUUAUUUAAAGCAUUAAUAUUUCCAUUUUAUGACAAGAAGAUUAGCAUGGCCCCUGUGCAAGGAUGACACAAACAAAUAGAGACAAGAAAAGGGAAAAGAUAUGAAUCUUUUU
This 116-nucleotide small nuclear RNA is filed under the name Amborella trichopoda. The record is from RNAcentral. Lineage: Eukaryota; Viridiplantae; Streptophyta; Magnoliopsida; Amborellales; Amborellaceae.